Molecule: transfer RNA, 73 nt
Filed under: Otolemur garnettii (small-eared galago)
Lineage: Eukaryota; Metazoa; Chordata; Mammalia; Primates; Galagidae
Rfam family: tRNA
About the family: Transfer RNA (tRNA) molecules are approximately 80 nucleotides in length. Their secondary structure includes four short double-helical elements and three loops (D, anti-codon, and T loops).
Source: Rfam by way of RNAcentral
GCCCAGCUAGCUCAGUCAGUAGAGCAUGGGACUUUUAACCCCAGAGUCGUGGGUUUGAGUACCACAUUGGGUG